GAUGAGCGCUGGCGGCGUGCCUAAUACAUGCAAGUCGAGCGAACAGACGAGGAGCUUGCUCCUCUGACGUUAGCGGCGGACGGGUGAGUAACACGUGGAUAACCUACCUAUAAGACUGGGAUAACUUCGGGAAACCGGAGCUAAUACCGGAUAAUAUAUUGAACCGCAUGGUUCAAUAGUGAAAGACGGUUUUGCUGUCACUUAUAGAUGGGUCCGCGCCGCAUUAGCUAGUUGGUAAGGUAACGGCUUACCAAGGCAACGAUGCGUAGCCGACCUGAGAGGGUGAUCGGCCACACUGGAACUGAGACACGGUCCAGACUCCUACGGGAGGCAGCAGUAGGGAAUCUUCCGCAAUGGGCGAAAGCCUGACGGAGCAACGCCGCGUGAGUGAUGAAGGUCUUCGGAUCGUAAAACUCUGUUAUUAGGGAAGAACAAAUGUGUAAGUAACUAUGCACGUCUUGACGGUACCUAAUCAGAAAGCCACGGCUAACUACGUG
This 497-nucleotide ribosomal RNA is filed under the name uncultured bacterium. Its description in RNAcentral is "partial 16S ribosomal RNA". It matches the Rfam family "Bacterial small subunit ribosomal RNA", at positions 28 to 507 of the family's 1533-position model. The record is from RNAcentral.